RNAcentral lists this long non-coding RNA (664 nucleotides) under Trifolium pratense (red clover). Its description in RNAcentral is "long non-coding RNA (TPRA_LNC009358)". The record is from RNAcentral. Lineage: Eukaryota; Viridiplantae; Streptophyta; Magnoliopsida; Fabales; Fabaceae.
CAAUGCAUGAUCUACAGUAAAAGGUGCAUUGCAUACAAAACAUAAACCCAUUUCCAUCUUCUCUUCUACUUCCACAGCACUCAAAAUUUUCACACUCUUGUAUUUUGGACCCAUAAUGCGCAGAAUCCAAGGCUCAAGAUACCAAUUGUAACGGAUAAAUUAGAUUCUAGGGACGAAACCGAUAGAAUCAAGUCUCAAAGUAGGAAUUCUAACGAAUUGAAUAGAAUUCGAUACAAAUAAGAUUAUACAAACAUAAACUCUUAGUUUUGAGAGAAGAAGAUAAUUGUUCAUUCAUUCAUUCAUCCUUUUCAAAAUGAGGCACAAUUGCUUUAAAUACAACCACAAAGGCUAAAAAGGUAAUUGACAUAAAUAAAACUAUUUAUUUAAAAUAAACUAUUAAACUAUACCUAAUUCCUGUCACAAUACCCUCCCCUUCAAACAUCCUUGUCCUCGAGGAUGAACAAUCACAAGUGUCAUGUUUAAGAGGCAAGGCUUUCCAUUUGAUUAAAACUUUAGCAUCUCGAACAUUUCCCCUAUCGAUCAUCUUCCUGUGAAAAAUAACUAUAAAAGCAAACCAGUUCAGAACCUUUCCAUAUUGCCUUGAUGAAUAGUGUGCAGCAACAAACAUAGGUAAGCUCAAUGAGUAAUUGCUUAACAACACAUU